GACGAACGCUGGCGGCGUGCCUAAUACAUGCAAGUAGAACGCUGAAGAGAGGAGCUUGCUCUUCUUGGAUGAGUUGCGAACGGGUGAGUAACGCGUAGGUAACCUGCCUUGUAGCGGGGGAUAACUAUUGGAAACGAUAGCUAAUACCGCAUAACAAUGGAUGACACAUGUCAUUUAUUUGAAAGGGGCAAUUGCUCCACUACAAGAUGGACCUGCGUUGUAUUAGCUAGUAGGUGAGGUAAUGGCUCACCUAGGCGACGAUACAUAGCCGACCUGAGAGGGUGUUCGGCCACACUGGGACUGAGACACGGCCCAGACUCCUACGGGAGGCAGCAGUAGGGAAUCUUCGGCAAUAGGGGCAACCCUGACCGAGCAACGCCGCGUGAGUGAAGAAGGUUUUCGGAUCGUAAAGCUCUGUUGUAAGUCAAGAACGGGUGUGAGAGUGGAAAGUUCACACUGUGACGGUAGCUUACCAGAAAGGGACGGCUAACUACGUG
Molecule: ribosomal RNA, 497 nt
Filed under: uncultured bacterium
Lineage: Bacteria
Description: partial 16S ribosomal RNA
Rfam family: Bacterial small subunit ribosomal RNA
Source: RNAcentral